AGAGUCGUGAAUGUAUGGUAUUGCCAAAUGAAGUUCUUUAGAAUUAUAUAUGUACAUAUAGAAAUCGCCCGACAUUAGUAAAUCUUCGGCCGCAAUUAAGAGUAGAUUAAAGGUGUAAGGUCUUUUAAGUUUAUAGAGACGAAGUCUGCUUAGAAGUCGAAGUUGUCCUAAGAAGAGCAUUAAAAAUACCAGAAGAAAAUGCAAUACUGAUAGACAAAACAUACUAUCGGUUGCGUCACGGCCUCUAAUGUGUAAAAAUAUUCGAUUUCCUAGAACAUUUUUGUACAAAUUAACUUGAGAACUUAAACUGUUGAGAAACUAUCUGAUAUUUUUCUUCAAUAAUCACUGAUGAAUCAUUUUGGUAUGCUGUGUGCUUUGAGGCUUUACAAAGUGUGUUUUUACAUUAUCAUAUUUUAUACUAUUGAAUAUCCAAAUUAUUUAAGUUGCACAAAUUUUCCAAAGAUAUGGCAACCCAAAUAUUUGCUUUAGUUCGUAUAUGAAUGAAUUUCUGUGUCCCAAACGUUUAGGCAGAACAUUUAUAUACAUACAUACGUUUAUCAUAAUAACUUAUAAAAAUAUGAGCAUCGUUUUCCCACUUUUUGGCAUUUAAUACCUACGUUCCCACUUCAUUAUACAUACGUAAAGAAUUUAACCUAAGCCAGAUAAAAGUAAGCCCAUAUGGCCAUACACUUACACACAUACGAGGGUCCACCAAUAAGUACUUAAAAGUAAGAAAAAAGUACAUUUUCAACACGGCAAUGCGCCAACUUAUACUUCCGCCGUUUCAGUCAUUCCAGAUUUUCUACGUCAAGCCUUUUUCUCAAUCGUCAUUAGUCGAGCAAAGAAUUUUAUUGGUGCCAUAGAGGCCUACUUUGAAUACCUCCAGAAAUCGUAGUUAAACAAGUGAAAAUGUUGGAUUAUUACAGAGUCAAAGUUGCCUAUAUGGAGGAACAAUUUGCAACUUUUUCCAAAGACUUCUGCUUCUGCCAAAGUAUUUGUUAAACUCCCCUCGUAAUCAUCAUGCUUCGGAUUCUCAAUUGUUACUCAAAUUUACUCACCAACUUCCUUUGUACAUUUUUUUCAUAUUUUAUCAUCUUCUUUUUUACAUACGGUUCUGACCUUUUUACCAAUGUCAAAAUCGGGCAUAAUAUGUAUGCACACACCAUAGCUAAAAUAUAUGUACAAAAAUUCUUACACACACCUACAUACAAUUGAUGCAAAUUUUGAUCCCAAACACGUUUAAAUAAUUCAUAAUUCCUUAUUGCCUUAUGUCAUUUACGUUUUACCUCACUUGCCGUGGUGUAGUGCAAACAAMAAAAAUAACCACUUCUCUCCGUGUGCCAUUUGAAUAUUUAAAUAUUUAAAUAUGUAUAAGUCAACCAUGGUAUUCCUGCCACAACUCAACUACUCCGAUAUGCCCUGCGGCUUGUACAUCGAUAUACGUUUGAAUGCAUGCUUGCCUUUAGCUCCAAACACAGUGCUCGCUAACUUGUAGGCAGCCUUUGCAGAUGCGUGAAGUUGCAUGUAAAAUGUCCGAUGGCAGUCACAGCGCCAAAUGUGACCUACUUUCGAAGCCCGCAUCGGUAAACAUUGCUCGACGGGGUUAAUCUAAUGAUGGUGAAGGUACGAUUUUACUCGGCAGCUGCUCGCAAUGUCGGCUGAUAGGGAAGUCGAUGAGGACGAUGAAAAGAAUGACGACGACUAAGCCAGCGUAGGUGAUGUUGAGGAAGGCUCUUAUGAUAGCGGUGAUUCUCGCAAUGGCGAUGUCGGCUUGGCGAUGUCGGCUUGGCGACAUAUUAUAGGGAGCCUGCAUUACAGUAUGCUCAUCGCUCAUGGUCAGACAUCUGCAUCAUGAAGAACUCUAGCAGCCGAAUGCCGAGCGACUUCCUGGUGGCGGUGCUAGCUACGGUUAUCGUAGUAGUUGUGAUUCGAAGUCGGAGGACCUGCGGGUGAUCCAAGAAAUUUGCGAAUUUUAGAGGACAUCACAUGCGACCUCGGCAUCAAUUUGGAAAAUUUCGAACAGGACGAGCAGAUGUGAUCACAAAUCGACACUAAUAAUCUGCGGACCCCUUUAUUUGCUCCAUCACUUUUAGCAGUCACGGAGGACGGCAGCAGCAAUGAGUGGCACGAACAGGAAGCAACAAACCAUAUAAACGCCAUCACUAGUACAACAAAAACGCUACCAACAGUUAUGAAAGCCGCUGCUGUUACAACACACGAAGCCGCCUCACCACCUUCACCGCACGCCACGUGGCAGAAGCGGGGCUCCAACUCACCACCCAGCAACAGUGGCCACCAGUAGCCACGUCACGUACGAAAGGCGCAUCGGCGAUUGGUCCGAGAGUUCAGAGAAUUGUGGUAAUGCGGGCGGCGAAGAURUGUGGGCAAACAACAAUUUCCGCAAUAAAAACCGCAUUUUAUAGUGUGUUUUGUAUGGCACACAUCGACCAACAGGCAACGCUUGUCGUCAACAAAAACUUUCCGCAGUUAUGAAAGUGUGCAAGAGUCCGUCAUGCUGUGCAAAAGCGAGCAAAGGGUUGCAGCAACAGGCGAAAAGAGAGCAGCGCGUGUCUUGCCAAGAUCAUAUUGAGUUAAAUGAAGAAAUAUAAAAUAAUGGCAACACAACGUGAAACUUUAGAAACACUACAGGAAUGAAGUAAAAAAUCUUGUGCUCAACUUAAGAAUAAAUAAUAAAUAAUCAACAAGAAGAAGAAUAAUAAAAUUAACAUACAAUUAGAUACUA
Long non-coding RNA from Bactrocera latifrons, 2743 nucleotides. RefSeq lists it as uncharacterized. The transcript has 5 exons. NCBI's taxonomy places the organism in Eukaryota, Metazoa, Arthropoda, Insecta, Diptera, Tephritidae. The record is from RefSeq and is a predicted model, not a curated record.